CUUUUACAAUGAAGAGUUUGAUCCUGGCUCAGGAUGAACGCUAGCUACAGGCUUAACACAUGCAAGUCGAGGGGCAGCAUUUUAGUUUGCUUGCAAACUAAAGAUGGCGACCGGCGCACGGGUGAGUAACACGUAUCCAACCUGCCGAUAACUCGGGGAUAGCCUUUCGAAAGAAAGAUUAAUAUCCGAUAGUAUAUUAAAACCGCAUGGUUUUACUAUUAAAGAAUUUCGGUUAUCGAUGGGGAUGCGUUCCAUUAGUUUGUUGGCGGGGUAACGGCCCACCAAGACUACGAUGGAUAGGGGUUCUGAGAGGAAGGUCCCCCACAUUGGAACUGAGACACGGUCCAAACUCCUACGGGAGGCAGCAGUGAGGAAUAUUGGUCAAUGGACGAGAGUCUGAACCAGCCAAGUAGCGUGAAGGAUGACUGCCCUAUGGGUUGUAAACUUCUUUUAUAUGGGAAUAAAGUAUUCCACGUGUGGGAUUUUGUAUGUACCAUAUGAAUAAGGAUCGGCUAACUCCGUGCCAGCAGCCGCGGUAAUACGGAGGAUCCGAGCGUUAUCCGGAUUUAUUGGGUUUAAAGGGAGCGUAGGUGGAUUGUUAAGUCAGUUGUGAAAGUUUGCGGCUCAACCGUAAAAUUGCAGUUGAAACUGGCAGUCUUGAGUACAGUAGAGGUGGGCGGAAUUCGUGGUGUAGCGGUGAAAUGCUUAGAUAUCACGAAGAACUCCGAUUGCGAAGGCAGCUCACUAGACUGCAACUGACACUGAUGCUCGAAAGUGUGGGUAUCAAACAGGAUUAGAUACCCUGGUAGUCCACACAGUAAACGAUGAAUACUCGCUGUUUGCGAUAUACAGUAAGCGGCCAAGCGAAAGCAUUAAGUAUUCCACCUGGGGAGUACGCCGGCAACGGUGAAACUCAAAGGAAUUGACGGGGGCCCGCACAAGCGGAGGAACAUGUGGUUUAAUUCGAUGAUACGCGAGGAACCUUACCCGGGCUUAAAUUGCAUUUGAAUAAUCUGGAAACAGGUUAGCCGCAAGGCAAAUGUGAAGGUGCUGCAUGGUUGUCGUCAGCUCGUGCCGUGAGGUGUCGGCUUAAGUGCCAUAACGAGCGCAACCCUUAUCUUUAGUUACUAACAGGUUAUGCUGAGGACUCUAGAGAGACUGCCGUCGUAAGAUGUGAGGAAGGUGGGGAUGACGUCAAAUCAGCACGGCCCUUACGUCCGGGGCUACACACGUGUUACAAUGGGGGGUACAGAAGGCAGCUACCUGGCGACAGGAUGCUAAUCCCAAAAACCUCUCUCAGUUCGGAUCGAAGUCUGCAACCCGACUUCGUGAAGCUGGAUUCGCUAGUAAUCGCGCAUCAGCCAUGGCGCGGUGAAUACGUUCCCGGGCCUUGUACACACCGCCCGUCAAGCCAUGAAAGCCGGGGGUACCUGAAGUACGUAACCGCAAGGAGCGUCCUAGGGUAAAACUGGUAAUUGGGGCUAAGUCGUAACAAGGUAGCCGUACCGGAAGGUGCGGCUGGAACACCUCCUUUCU
Molecule: ribosomal RNA, 1536 nt
Filed under: Bacteroides xylanisolvens
Lineage: Bacteria; Pseudomonadati; Bacteroidota; Bacteroidia; Bacteroidales; Bacteroidaceae
Description: bacterial SSU rRNA
Rfam family: Bacterial small subunit ribosomal RNA
Source: RNAcentral